GAUGAACGCUGGCGGCGUGCCUAAUACAUGCAAGUCGAGCGAACGGACGAGAAGCUUGCUUCUCUGAUGUUAGCGGCGGACGGGUGAGUAACACGUGGAUAACCUACCUAUAAGACUGGGAUAACUUCGGGAAACCGGAGCUAAUACCGGAUAAUAUUUUGAACCGCAUGGUUCAAAAGUGAAAGACGGUCUUGCUGUCACUUAUAGAUGGAUCCGCGCUGCAUUAGCUAGUUGGUAAGGUAACGGCUUACCAAGGCAACGAUGCAUAGCCGACCUGAGAGGGGGAGGGGCACAACGGGAACAGAGAAAGGAUCACGACUCAAAAGGGAGGCACAAAGAGGGAUUCUUCAGCAAGGGGAGAAAGCAAAAGGAAGAAACGCAGAGUGAGUAUGAAAGGUAUUAGGAUCGAAAAACUUGGUAAUGAGGAAAGAAAAAAUGUUAAAGAAACUGUGCAAAUCUGGGGGGUACCAAAUAAGAAAACCAGGGAAAAAUAAGGA
RNAcentral lists this ribosomal RNA (497 nucleotides) under uncultured bacterium. RNAcentral's name for it is "partial 16S ribosomal RNA". It matches the Rfam family "Bacterial small subunit ribosomal RNA", at positions 28 to 507 of the family's 1533-position model. The record is from RNAcentral.